GGGGUUGUAGUUUAAUAACAUUUAAUUUGCAAUUAAAAGAUACUAACAAAUAUUAGUCUACCUCA
RNAcentral lists this transfer RNA (65 nucleotides) under Glaucias dorsalis. RNAcentral describes it as "tRNA-Ala". It matches the Rfam family "tRNA". Rfam says of the family: Transfer RNA (tRNA) molecules are approximately 80 nucleotides in length. Their secondary structure includes four short double-helical elements and three loops (D, anti-codon, and T loops). Further hydrogen bonds mediate the characteristic L-shaped molecular structure. tRNAs have two regions of fundamental functional importance: the anti-codon, which is responsible for specific mRNA codon recognition, and the 3' end, to which the tRNAs corresponding amino acid is attached (by aminoacyl-tRNA synthetases). tRNAs cope with the degeneracy of the genetic code in two manners: having more than one tRNA (with a specific anti-codon) for a particular amino acid; and 'wobble' base-pairing, i.e. permitting non-standard base-pairing at the 3rd anti-codon position. Lineage: Eukaryota; Metazoa; Arthropoda; Insecta; Hemiptera; Pentatomidae. The record is from RNAcentral.